This is a long non-coding RNA of Photinus pyralis (common eastern firefly), 708 nucleotides long. RefSeq lists it as uncharacterized. NCBI's taxonomy places the organism in Eukaryota, Metazoa, Arthropoda, Insecta, Coleoptera, Lampyridae. The record is from RefSeq and is a predicted model, not a curated record. The transcript is spliced from 2 exons.
GUAUUUAUUUUUAAAUAUAAUUAAUUUUAUGUAAGUUUGGUUGCCUAUACCAAUGGUACCCUUACCACAAAUAACGUUAAAUCAAUUUAUGAAACUGUGCGCAUAUACUUCGAUAAGAAGUGGAAAUGAAAAAGGAAUGCGAGCGAUCCACGAGAACGAGAUCGAAUAUUGUAUUUGGCGUACCAGAUUGAUACCGAUUUUAUUGGCCGCAAGCUGCCCACAUUUUGUAGUAAUUUUUUUUGUGUUUGAAAAAACCCUCAUCGAGGGUUUUUUUUUUGUACUAUAAGAAAUUGAAUUGAGCCUAUAUCCUGCACAAGAAUAAUUAGAGAAUCCAGAUUUUUACUGCGACAGAAACAGCAGCGUUUCUUUUCAACACUGUCUAAUUUCCAAUCACCGAAUCUCACGCCAACAUUGCGGAUGGUUCAACUCCAACUUCACAGAAGAUAAGAUAGCGACUCAAAAAUAAGGCGAGUUCGUUCCAUUUUUUUAGACGGUAUCGUUUGCUAAAUUGGCCCCUUUUUUUUCUUUUUCUGUACAAUAGUAAAUAGUAUCACCAAUCUACUAACACUCUUCUUAGUAUUAAAAAAUUUCACAUUUUUAUACUACUCUAAUUGAUGUAAAUAAACUGGUUUUUGUGUUACGGUCUCAACCCCGUAAAUUUGUUAUUAUCAUUAAGGUUGAGUGGCGCCCAGACGCCCCAGUGUUCAA